RNAcentral lists this ribosomal RNA (429 nucleotides) under Chloroflexota bacterium. RNAcentral's name for it is "Chloroflexi bacterium partial 16S ribosomal RNA". It matches the Rfam family "Bacterial small subunit ribosomal RNA", at positions 355 to 776 of the family's 1533-position model. Lineage: Bacteria; Bacillati; Chloroflexota. The record is from RNAcentral.
UGGGGAAUAUUGCACAAUGGGUGCAAGCCUGAUGCAGCCAUGCCGCGUGUAUGAAGAAGGCCUUCGGGUUGUAAAGUACUUUCAGUCGGGAGGAAGGUGGUAAGGUUAAUAACCUUAUCAAUUGACGUUACCGACAGAAGAAGCACCGGCUAACUCCGUGCCAGCAGCCGCGGUAAUACGGAGGGUGCAAGCGUUAAUCGGAAUUACUGGGCGUAAAGCGCACGCAGGCGGUUGAUUGAGUCAGAUGUGAAAUCCCCGGGCUUAACCCGGGAAGUGCAUCUGGUACUGGUCAGCUAGAGUCUUGUAGGGGGGGGUAGAAUUCCAUGUGUAGCGGUGAAAUGCGUAGAGAUCUGGAGGAAUACCGGUGGCGAAGGCGGCCCCCUGGACGAAGACUGACGCUCAGGUGCGAAAGCGUGGGGAGCAAACAGG